Molecule: ribosomal RNA, 450 nt
Filed under: uncultured bacterium
Lineage: Bacteria
Description: partial 16S ribosomal RNA
Rfam family: Bacterial small subunit ribosomal RNA
Source: RNAcentral
GUGGGGAAUUUUGGACAAUGGGCGCAAGCCUGAUCCAGCAAUGCCACGUGUGUGAAGAAGGCCUUCGGGUUGUAAAGCACUUUUGGCAGGAAAGAAAUAGCGCGUGCUAAUACCAUGCGCGAAUGACGGUACCUGCAGAAUAAGCACCGGCUAACUACGUGCCAGCGGCCGCGGUAAGACGUAGGGUGCAAGCGUUAAUCGGAAUUACUGGGCGUAAAGCGUGCGCAGGCGGUUUUGUAAGACAGGUGUGAAAUCCCCGGGCUCAACCUGGGAACUGCACUUGUGACUGCAAGGCUAGAGUGUGUCAGAGGGAGGUGGAAUUCCGCGUGUAGCAGUGAAAUGCGUAGAGAUGCGGAGGAACACCGAUGGCGAAGGCAGCCUCCUGGGAUAACACUGACGCUCAGGCACGAAAGCGUGGGGAGCAAACAGGAUUAGAUACCCCGGUAGUCC